AACGGCGAGUGAAGCGGCAAGAGCUCAAAUUUGAAAUCUGGCCUCCUCCGGGGKCCCGAGUUGUAAUUUGCAGAGGAUGCUUCGGGUGCGGCCGCCGUCUAAGUUCCUUGGAACAGGACGUCAGAGAGGGUGAGAAUCCCGUCUUGGGCGGGCGGUCCGCGCCCGUGUGAAGCUCCUUCGACGAGUCGAGUUGUUUGGGAAUGCAGCUCUAAGCGGGUGGUAAAUUUCAUCUAAAGCUAAAUAUUGGCCGGAGACCGAUAGCGCACAAGUAGAGUGAUCGAAAGGUUAAAAGCACCUUGAAAAGGGAGUUAAACAGCACGUGAAAUUGUUGAAAGGGAAGCGCUUGCGGCCAGAUUCGGGGGCGGGGUUCAGCGGGUGCUCGUCGCCCGUGUAUUCCUCGUCUCCCGGGCCAGCAUCAGUUUCGACGGCCGGUCAAAGGCCCCCGGAAUGUGUCGUCUCUYGGGACGUCUUAUAGCCSGGGGUGCAAUGCGGCCCGUCGGGACUGAGGAACGCGCUCCGGCUCGGAUGCUGGCGUAAUGGCCGUAAGCGGCCCGUCUUGAAACACGGACCAAGGAGUCUAACAUCCACGCGAGUGUUCGGGUGUCAAACCCGUGCGCGCAGUGAAAGCGAACGGAGGUGGGAGCCCUAGGGCGCACCAUCGACCGAUCCUGAAGUCUUCGGAUGGAUUUGAGUAGGAGCGUGGCCGUUGGGACCCGAAAGAUGGUGAACUAUGCCUGAAUAGGGUGAAGCCAGAGGAAACUCUGGUGGAGGCUCGCAGCGGUACUGACGUGCAAAUCGAUCGUCAAAUUU
RNAcentral lists this ribosomal RNA (810 nucleotides) under Paraphyton cookiellum. RNAcentral's name for it is "eukaryotic LSU rRNA". It matches the Rfam family "Eukaryotic large subunit ribosomal RNA", at positions 85 to 912 of the family's 3401-position model. The record is from RNAcentral. Lineage: Eukaryota; Fungi; Ascomycota; Eurotiomycetes; Onygenales; Arthrodermataceae.